AGAUUGAACGCUGGCGGCAUGCCUUACACAUGCAAGUCGAACGGCAGCACGGGGGCAACCCUGGUGGCGAGUGGCGAACGGGUGAGUAACAUAUCGGAACGUGCCCUGGAGUGGGGGAUAACUAGUCGAAAGAUUAGCUAAUACCGCAUACGAUCUACGGAUGAAAGUGGGGGAUCGCAAGACCUCAUGCUCGUGGAGCGGCCGAUAUCUGAUUAGCUAGUUGGUGGGUAAAGGCCUACCAAGGCAUCGAUCAGUAGCUGGUCUGAGAGGACGACCAGCCACACUGGGACUGAGACACGGCCCAGACUCCUACGGGAGGCAGCAGUGGGGAAUUUGGACAAUGGGCGCAAGCCUGAUCCAGCAAUGCCGCGUGAGUGAAGAAGGCCUUCGGUUGUAAAGCGUACUUUUUGUCAGGGAAGAAACGGUGGAGGUUAAUACCUUCUGCUAAUGACGGUACCUGAAGAAUAAGCACCGGCUAACUACGUGA
RNAcentral lists this ribosomal RNA (487 nucleotides) under uncultured soil bacterium. Its description in RNAcentral is "bacterial SSU rRNA". It matches the Rfam family "Bacterial small subunit ribosomal RNA", at positions 26 to 508 of the family's 1533-position model. The record is from RNAcentral.